Equus asinus (donkey) is the source of this 1953-nucleotide long non-coding RNA. Lineage: Eukaryota; Metazoa; Chordata; Mammalia; Perissodactyla; Equidae. The record is from Ensembl.
GGGAGCUGGUCCUGGUUGUCCCCGCCGGGCUCUCCUGACAGGGUGGUGUCCAGCAGGUGGAAGUCUUCUGUCUGUCCAGCACCUAACACGCAACAAGGCGCCCCACGUCUGCAAAGCUCUUCAGCAGCGUCUCAGCAGCCUCCACAGCGAGCCUGCGGGCAGGCAGAGCCGCGCCAACCGCAGUUACGGUAAAACAACAACAACAACACAGCCCCCCCUGGAGCCAGGAGUGCCCAGUGGAAGUGGUGUGCAACUUCUGGGCAAUGUCCUUAAAUAGGGAGGGAGUCCUGCUCUUUGCCUUUCCUCCUUCCAUCUGGCCAGAAGGUGGAUGCAAUGGCUCGAGCUACAGAAGUCACAUUGGACCAUGAAGUGACCUUGGGAAUGGAAACCGUGCAGGUGGAACAGCAAGACAGAAGGAGCCCGGGUUCCUGACAGUGCGGGGCAACACGCCAGCCCCAGACUGCCUGCUUCCAGGCGCUCACCCCAAAGAGAGGGAAACUAUUGGAGGUUUUCGAUGACUCACAGCUGAAACAAAUUAAACAGCAUACUAACCCAUUUUGUUACCACCGAAAGCACAGACCACUAGCAAGAAACUUAGAAAGGUCAGCAACAGAGUGUGAUGGAUGAAAGACCUCAGCACUAUUCAGUGAUCAGGCGGUGUGGGGAGGAGAUUUUACCUCGAGGCGUGGAUGACGUAAUCUGCAAUAUCGCAGACUGUGGCUGCCUGGGUGCGUGCUGCCUGUCUGCCAAGAAGGUCGAUAAAUAAGUAAACUUCUCUGCGGCUCUGGGUUGGUUAGCCUGGAGAGAGAAGUUCUCAUACUUCUAACCCUUAACAGGAUCUUUUCACAAAUGUCUAUGAUCUUAUCUGUGUAGCCACUAGACCCCCGGAAGGCACAGCCAGGUGAGAGUGUAAGUACUGGCUGAAGGACCUGGGCGAUUCGGCCUCGGGAAGAAAUUCUGGAGCUGGGCGCUGGGGAUCUGAGAGCUGCGUUCACACAUCAAAAUAAAAAAGGGUUUAGGCUUCUUCCUGGAGAACCCGAGGCCAAAACCAGGACGGUCUACCUAAUAUUGUAUCAUUAUGUUAAAAAAUAGGGGCCGGUCCCAUGGCCGAGCGGUUAAGUUCGUGUGCUCCACUGCAGCGGCCCAGGGUUUUGCCAGUUUGGAUCCUGGGCGUGGACAUGGCACUGCUCAUCAAGCCACGCUGAGGUGGCGUCCCACAUGCCACAACUGGAAGGACCCACAACUAAAAAAUGUGCAACUAUGUACCAGGGGGCUUUGGGGAGAAAAAGGAAAAUAAAAUCUUUAAAGAAUAGACCUAGUUUACAUUAGCACCAACAGAAUAGAAGAGUGUUUAUUUCCCUCUAUCCUUAUCAAUGUCAGAUAUUAGCAGCCUUUUAAUUUUUGCUAAUCUUCAGGACAAAACGUUUGAGAACUGCUGGUUUAGAGCACUUCUUAAAUGAGAGAAGCUUUUCUUUUGGGAUGCCUGGAAUCAAAGUUCUGUUUAAAAAGAAUUUUAAAUUUUAUUUUAUAUUGUAGAAAUUUGUACAAUGAAAUGUAAUGACUUAGAACACAUUAGCUGUUUUUAAAUUCCAACAGCGAAUUUCCCUGCUACUUCUGACAAAACUGAUCUUUUUUGUGCAUACUCAUGUCAAACUCAAGAAUUUCAAAUUAGCUUUAGCAAAAGCAAAUAUUUACAUUUAAAAAGAAAACAUCUGAACUCAGAACUCAUGAAGAUAAAAAAGUUUAAUAACUGAAGAUGUCUUAUUAGUUGAUGUCGCUAAUGGCAACAUCUAGGUCACAUAACUUAUAUUGACUUAAAACAGCGUUCCCACUAGCUUUGUGCGACCAUAUACACAAUUAUUGCAAUAAAGGAUUAAAAAAAGAAACGCCUAGUCUCCAUAUUUCCACAAAAAAACUGUUGAAAGAACAAAUUUCUGCUCAGUUGUUUUUUCC